ACGCUCGACACCUACGGAGGCAGCAGUGGGGAAUAUUGCACAAUGGGGGGAAACCCUGAUGCAGCGACGCCGCGUGGAGGAAGAAGGUCUUCGGAUUGUAAACUCCUGUUGUUGGGGAAAAAGAGGAUGGUACCCAACAAGGAAGUGACGGCUAACUACGUGCCACAGCCGACGGUAAUCUGAGCGGGCUGGACAAGGC
Molecule: ribosomal RNA, 199 nt
Filed under: uncultured bacterium
Lineage: Bacteria
Description: partial 16S ribosomal RNA
Rfam family: Bacterial small subunit ribosomal RNA
Source: RNAcentral